UAUUAAAAAAAUUAUUUAUUUGUACUAUUAAAAACUAGUAUGAAUGACGAAAUAACUUGACAAUGACAUGUGCAUGCCACGUAUAUCUCAUACUGACGUAUAAGAACCAAUUUUUAGCAAUAAAAAUGAAUAAAAUUUAUAACA
This 144-nucleotide microRNA precursor is filed under the name Gossypium hirsutum (cotton). RNAcentral describes it as "MIR7502 microRNA precursor family". It matches the Rfam family "MIR7502 microRNA precursor family". The record is from Rfam by way of RNAcentral. Lineage: Eukaryota; Viridiplantae; Streptophyta; Magnoliopsida; Malvales; Malvaceae.